GCCGUUAAACGCUACCGUCACACCACCAAAUCUACCGUAAAACAUUCAGAAUCUCCGUCGGGACCGCCUUAAAUAACCAAAAUUGAUCGAAAUUGACACCAAAGUUAUCCUACCAAUCGGCCAUACGGUAACCAAUAGAAACCUCCUAUCGGCCUAUCCUUGUCAAUCGAUUAGAGCUUUACAUUUUCCGAUUAUGUGAAUAAGUUUGGAGUUUAGUGCGUCGCCUUUCCUACACCAACAAACGAACCCCUGCUUUGGAGUCCCCACCGGCCAUUGGACUCUCCUAUGGCCGCUAUUUCAAUUUCCAUGUGAUCGAGGGACCUCCAUAAAUGGUUACAAUAUCAGCCAUUGGUUCAAACUUCGAAGGUGUUCGACAAAAUGUCUAAGUGAAUCUGUUCGAGAUUGUUUGAUCCAAUGAUGGUACACAACUGAUAGCUAACAAGUAUGAAGAACCUACUGCCAUACACUAAGGAGAUGGUGUACACUGAUCACGAUGAAUGAUUCUUGGCAAUGAAUCUUCAUGGAGAUACUGGAGGCCUCGAGCAAUUCCCACUAUGAUCUUGAAUCGGGUCUCCCAUGUCAAAUAUGUUGCUCUCAUUUCAUCUGUUUAAAACAUCAUUUUUUUUUAUUUAUAAUGUAGCAAAAACAUUAAAUCAUUGGAGUUAUUUAUCUAGUAAGGCUCUAUUCUGUUCACCUUAUUUCCACUUAUUUAAAAUUCAAAUAAGUUCAGAUAAGAUAAGUUUAGAAAAAGUAAGUGAAAAUCAGGUGAAUAGAAUGCACCCUAAGUAUCCAAAUUAAAUCCACAGUAGCUGAGUUUGUUUAGCUAGGAGACUAACCAUACAAAUACCGAUCAAGGCUCUUAUUCUGUACAAGUUCGUACACAAGUAACAUCUCGCUCCCUUCUAAACAAAAACCAUAGAGUUUGACUAGAUUCUUGUGUCGAAGCAUAGCAGCUAAACAAGCCUCAGUCUUAAACUCCCUGAUUCCCUGUCCUGAAGUGUUUGAAAGCCUCUUUACAGCAACCUCUUGUCCAUUUGAGAGUUUUCCCUGCACUUAACGUUUUUAAAUUAACUAGCUUCUGAGCCUGUUCAAUGAAUGGACAAUUACGUGCAUAGUGUUUGUUAAACGGCAUUUUAAAGUGCUAAUUUUGUUAAGGGUGGAUUUAUAUCGAGUGUUAAUUUUGUUGAA
This is a long non-coding RNA of Spinacia oleracea (spinach), 1188 nucleotides long. RefSeq lists it as uncharacterized. Lineage: Eukaryota; Viridiplantae; Streptophyta; Magnoliopsida; Caryophyllales; Amaranthaceae. The record is from RefSeq and is a predicted model, not a curated record. The transcript has 3 exons.